This 497-nucleotide ribosomal RNA is filed under the name uncultured bacterium. RNAcentral's name for it is "partial 16S ribosomal RNA". It matches the Rfam family "Bacterial small subunit ribosomal RNA", at positions 28 to 507 of the family's 1533-position model. The record is from RNAcentral.
GAUGAACGCUGGCGGCGUGCCUAAUACAUGCAAGUCGAGCGAACGGACGAGAAGCUUGCUUCUCUGAUGUUAGCGGCGGACGGGUGAGUAACACGUGGAUAACCUACCUAUAAGACUGGGAUAACUUCGGGAAACCGGAGCUAAUACCGGAUAAUAUUUUGAACCGCAUGGUUCAAAAGUGAAAGACGGUCUUGCUGUCACUUAUAGAUGGAUCCGCGCUGCAUUAGCUAGUUGGUAAGGUAACGGCUUACCAAGGCAACGAUGCAUAGCCGACCUGAGAGCGUGAUCGGCCACACUGGAUCUGAGACACGGUCCAGACUCCUACGGGAGGCAGCAGUAGGGAAUCUUACGCAAUGGGCGAAAGCCUGACGGAGCAACGCCGCGUGAGUGAUGAAGGUCUUCGGAUCGUAAAACUCUGUUAUUAGGGAAGUACAUAUGUGUAAGUAACUGUGCACAUCUUGACGGUACCGAAUCAGAAAGCCACGGCUAACUCCGUG